This is a long non-coding RNA of Bos indicus x Bos taurus (hybrid cattle), 1372 nucleotides long. NCBI's taxonomy places the organism in Eukaryota, Metazoa, Chordata, Mammalia, Artiodactyla, Bovidae. The record is from Ensembl.
UGGAGAAGUUAACUUGAUGACCAGCUGGAGAAGUUUAGUUAAUUUACAUGAGACCAGACUAUACCCAUGACAUAAGCUGCCACAAUUCCAAGAAUUGGCCUCAAAGACCUUGGAAUUUAAGACUAACUCCACCUAAAACAAUCAAGAUAGCACUGGUCAGACCACCAAUUUGAAUAUGACUCUCAGAGCUGACUGCAGUUUCUGCAUAUAGUCCCCCCUCCACUUCUGUCUAUAAAAGCUCUUGCCAGUGGUUGCCAGUGGGAGGAAGUCAGCCUUUGGACUGAUGUCUGCUCCCCCCAUUCCCAGCUGCCAGCAUCUGCAACAAAGCAAGCUUUCCUUUCCACCAACCUGGGCUGUUCAUUGGCUUUUGAAUGGCGAGCAGCCAGACCCCACAUACACCUUUCGGUAACAGAUCUGUCGCCCAGCGUGGGGCUGACUACUGCUGGCUCCUGUGCUUUCAUGGUUCUCCUGAGUUUUCCAGGGGAGAGCUGUGGCCAUGACAGUGUAUGUGCUUGCGGCUUGUGGCUACUUAGCCACAAGUAGAGGAUUUGGAUGACGCUCCUAGAAUCUGCCAAAAUUAAUUGUUUCAAGGAUUCUCCCUGUUUCUCCCCUGCUCAGCACUGGCUGCCAACUUAAUGCUUUUUCUUGAUAGAAUGGAAACUUGCACUUGGGAUAAGCUGAUGAGCUCCGAGACCGGACAAGCGAUUCCUGUGUGCUCAGAAGAGGAACCUCAUCUUAGAAGGAUUGACAUACUUUGAAAAGAUGGCCUUUAGAAGCAAGGCAAAGCUACAGUCAAUUGUGUGAGACAUGGUCUGCAGGAGGAAAAUCUGAUGUGACAAGUUCAAAAUUCCGUGGAGUCAUGUCAAAAGAGUUUCAACAGGAGCUGCUGUUGUGCCCCUGCGGGAGGCAUCAUCAGGCUGGUCUUGGAAACCUGACGAGAGAAAAAAAAAUAUGUGUCUCAUCAUCAGGGAACAGAAGGGGAUACACAGCCAAGGAAAUGACAUGACAUGUUACAGUUCCAAUAGUAAAUUUGAUUUUCUGUCAGGUUUUUGGACUGCCCUCAGGGUGAAAGACCUCAUUCUAGCUGAGGGUGCUGUCUUGGGCCAAGAAGAGAUAACGAACCAAGAACAGUGUAAUUUCAGGCUCCCUGCGGACAGGCGCAGACCACAGGGCAUUUUUCAACACAUAGCUGGUGAGGCUUGCAUUUCUGGCCAAGUGAGCACUCUUUCCACAGCCUCUCCUCACAGAGAACCCAAAGCUGGUAGGACACAGCCUGAGUAUCUCUUGAGACUACUAGACAGACCCAGUAAGAAACAAAGUCUUGAUUUGGAACAAGGAUGCCUUUGCCUGACUCUCACAUUCACUAGCUAAU